RNAcentral lists this ribosomal RNA (510 nucleotides) under uncultured bacterium. RNAcentral's name for it is "bacterial SSU rRNA". It matches the Rfam family "Bacterial small subunit ribosomal RNA", at positions 8 to 507 of the family's 1533-position model. The record is from RNAcentral.
AGAGUUUGAUCAUGGCUCAGAGUGAACGCUGGCGGCAGGCCUAACACAUGCAAGUCGAACGGCAGCACGGCAGUAGCAAUACUGUGGGUGGCGAGUGGCGGACGGGUGAGGAAUACAUCGGGAUCUACCCUGUUGUGGGGGAUAACGUAGGGAAACUUACGCUAAUACCGCAUAAGAACUGAGGUUGAAAGCGGCGGACCGCAAGGCGUCGCGCGAUUGGAUGAACCGAUGUCCGAUUAGCUAGUUGGCGGGGUAAAGGCCCACCAAGGCGACGAUCGGUAGCUGGUCUGAGAGGACGAUCAGCCACACGGGAACUGAGACACGGUCCCGACUCCUACGGGGGGCAGCAGUGAGGAAUAUUGGGCAAUGGGCGGAAGCCUGACCCAGCAACGCCGCGUGAGUGAAGAAGGCCUUCGGGUUGUAAAGCUCUUUCGGUGGGGAAGAAAUUGCUUGGGUUAAUACCCUGAGUAGAUGACGGUACCCGCAUAAGAAGCACCGGCUAACUACGUG